Molecule: ribosomal RNA, 879 nt
Filed under: uncultured bacterium
Lineage: Bacteria
Description: bacterial SSU rRNA
Rfam family: Bacterial small subunit ribosomal RNA
Source: RNAcentral
AGAGUUUGAUCCUGGCUCAGGACGAACGCUGGCGGCGUGCCUAACACAUGCAAGUCGAACGGAACUGUUUUGAAAGAUUUCUUCGGAAUGAAUUUGAUUUAGUUUAGUGGCGGACGGGUGAGUAACGCGUGAGUAACCUGCCUUCAAGAGGGGGAUAACAUUCUGAAAAGAAUGCUAAUACCGCAUGAUAUAUCGGAACCACAUGGUUCUGAUAUCAAAGAUUUUAUCGCUUGAAGAUGGACUCGCGUCCGAUUAGUUAGUUGGUGAGGUAACGGCUCACCAAGACCGCGAUCGGUAGCCGGACUGAGAGGUUGAACGGCCACAUUGGGACUGAGACACGGCCCAGACUCCUACGGGAGGCAGCAGUGGGGGAUAUUGCGCAAUGGGGGCAACCCUGACGCAGCAACGCCGCGUGAAGGAUGAAGGUUUUCGGAUUGUAAACUUCUUUUAUUAAGGACGAAAAAUGACGGUACUUAAUGAAUAAGCUCCGGCUAACUACGUGCCAGCAGCCGCGGUAAUACGUAGGGAGCAAGCGUUGUCCGGAUUUACUGGGUGUAAAGGGUGCGUAGGCGGCUUUGCAAGUCAGAUGUGAAAUCUAUGGGCUCAACCCAUAAACUGCAUUUGAAACUGUAGAGCUUGAGUGAAGUAGAGGCAGGCGGAAUUCCCCGUGUAGCGGUGAAAUGCGUAGAGAUGGGGAGGAACACCAGUGGCGAAGGCGGCCUGCUGGGCUUUAACUGACGCUGAGGCACGAAAGCGUGGGUAGCAAACAGGAUUAGAUACCCUGGUAGUCCACGCUGUAAACGAUGAUUACUAGGUGUGGGGGGUCUGACCCCUUCCGUGCCGGAGUUAACACAAUAAGUAAUCCACCUGGGGAGUACG